RNAcentral lists this ribosomal RNA (253 nucleotides) under uncultured bacterium. RNAcentral's name for it is "partial 16S ribosomal RNA". It matches the Rfam family "Bacterial small subunit ribosomal RNA", at positions 524 to 776 of the family's 1533-position model. The record is from RNAcentral.
UACGGAGGGUGCAAGCGUUAAUCGGAAUUACUGGGCGUAAAGCGUGCGCAGGCGGCUAUGCAAGACAGAUGUGAAAUCCCCGGGCUCAACCUGGGAACUGCAUUUGUGACUGCAUGGCUAGAGUACGGUAGAGGGGGAUGGAAUUCCGCGUGUAGCAGUGAAAUGCGUAGAUAUGCGGAGGAACACCGAUGGCGAAGGCAAUCCCCUGGACCUGUACUGACGCUCAUGCACGAAAGCGUGGGGAGCAAACAGG